UCGAGAGUUUGAUCCUGGCUCAGGAUGAACGCUAGCGGCAGGCUUAACACAUGCAAGUCGAGGGGUAUAGUUCUUCGGAGCUAGAGACCGGCGCACGGGUGCGUAACGCGUAUGCAAUCUACCUUUUACAGAGGGAUAGCCCAGAGAAAUUUGGAUUAAUACCUCAUAGUAUGUGAGAAUCGCAUGGUUUUUACACAUUAAACGUUCCAACGGUAAAAGAUGAGCAUGCGUCCCAUUAGCUAGA
RNAcentral lists this ribosomal RNA (244 nucleotides) under uncultured Flavobacterium sp. RNAcentral describes it as "partial 16S ribosomal RNA". It matches the Rfam family "Bacterial small subunit ribosomal RNA", at positions 1 to 249 of the family's 1533-position model. The record is from RNAcentral. Lineage: Bacteria; Pseudomonadati; Bacteroidota; Flavobacteriia; Flavobacteriales; Flavobacteriaceae.